RNA transcript from Jatropha curcas, 1212 nucleotides. It is a transcript of the gene named calcineurin B-like protein 10, with no coding region annotated. Lineage: Eukaryota; Viridiplantae; Streptophyta; Magnoliopsida; Malpighiales; Euphorbiaceae. The record is from RefSeq and is a predicted model, not a curated record.
CAUGAUGGUUACUGAAACGGCAAGCAACCUGUCUAGAGUGUGUUUAUUUUGAUUGUGGAUGGUGUUUGUUACAAAACGACAAUUCUCUUCUCCCUAUUAUCUAUCCAUGAAUUGUUAAUUAUUUCCAAAUAUGGAUUCAACGGGCAGCUCUCUACAGGGGUCAAGCUAUUUGACGAUACAUGCAAGACUCUGUUCAGUGUUUAAAGCAAUAGGAGAAGCUGUGAUCUCUAGUUUUGUUGGUUGCUUUAUUUUCUACACUUCAACUCCAAAACUCCAUUGUUAUACCUUCAACGACCUCAAUCAUAUUGCUAGCAGAACUCUAUUUACUGUCAAUGAGGUGGAGGCUUUGCUUGAGCUGUUCAAAAAGCUGAGUAGUUCAAUAAUUGAUGAUGGCUUUAUACACAAGGAAGAGCUUCAAUUGGCACUACUGAGAACUACAGCCGGCAAAAACAUUUUCUUGGACAGGUUAUUUGAUAUUUUCGAUGAGAAGAAAGAAGGUGUUAUUGAUUUUGAGGAAUUUGUAUAUGCAUUCAAUGUUUUUCAUCCCCGAGCCUGUCUAGAGGACAAAAUUGAUUUUCUUUGUUCCUUUGGGUUUAAUGCAGUUUCAUUUAGGUUGUAUGAUUUGAGACAGACGGGAUAUAUCGAGAAGGAAGAAUUUUCAGGUCAGGCAAAUGUUAAAUGCCACUAUGUUGGAAUCUGGCUUACAGCUUUCAGAGGAACAUCUCGAAGCCAUAAUUGAAAAGACAUUUGCCGAUGCCGAUGUCGACAAGGAUGGUAAAAUUAACAAAGAAGAAUGGAAGGCAUUUGUUAUUUUGCACCCAACCCUUUUGAAGCACAUGACUCUUCCUUACCUGAAGGACAUCACCACAGUGUUUCCGAGUUUUAUUUUCAACACUGAAGUUGCUGACUAAAGUUUUGGCACCAAUUUUCUUCCGAAGCAACUGAUAAAGAAGUCCAAUUGCAGAUGGCAAACUAGCUUCCAGAUUUGCCACUGUUUAUUUUACAUCUUCUACUGCUGUAUAUUUGAUUAAAUUGCAGAUGGAAGAGGGGUUUUACCGCUGUACAUUUGAUUAAAUUGCAGAUGGAAAAGGACAAACCCUUCUGCAUAUAUUUAUUUAUUUAUUUUUGUUCACAGCUAAAUUGCCAAAAUUGUAUAUAUAUCAUUUGAACCAUGUACUCUCAUGUUCCCAAAUAUUUGUCCCUUUUGAAAAA